CCUACGGGAGGCAGCAGUGAGGAAUAUUGCACAAUGGGGGAAACCCUGAUGCAGCGACGCCGCGUGAAGGAAGAAGUAUUUCGGUAUGUAAACUUCUAUCAGCAGGGAAGAAAAUGACGGUACCUGACUAAGAAGCCCCGGCUAACUACGUGCCAGCAGCCGCGGUAAUACGUAGGGGGCAAGCGUUAUCCGGAUUUACUGGGUGUAAAGGGAGCGUAGGCGGUUUAGCAAGUCAGAAGUGAAAGCCCGGGGCUCAACUCCGGGACUGCUUUUGAAACUGUUGAACUAGAGUGCAGGAGAGGUAAGUGGAAUUCCUAGUGUAGCGGUGAAAUGCGUAGAUAUUAGGAGGAACACCAGUGGCGAAGGCGGCUUACUGGACUGUAAAUGACGCUGAGGCUCGAAAGCGUGGGGAGCAAACAGGAUUAGAUACCCGUGUAGUC
RNAcentral lists this ribosomal RNA (440 nucleotides) under uncultured bacterium. RNAcentral describes it as "partial 16S ribosomal RNA". It matches the Rfam family "Bacterial small subunit ribosomal RNA", at positions 338 to 795 of the family's 1533-position model. The record is from RNAcentral.